GAUGAACGCUGGCGGCGUGCUUAACACAUGCAAGUCGAACGGUGAACCCGGAGCUUGCUCUGUGGGAUCAGUGGCGAACGGGUGAGUAACACGUGAGCAACCUGCCCCUGACUCUGGGAUAAGCUCUGGAAACGGCGUCUAAUACCGGAUAUGUGACGUUACUGCAUGGUCUGCGUUUGGAAAGAUUUUUCGGUUGGGGAUGGGCUCGCGGCCUAUCAGCUUGUUGGUGGGGUAAUGGCUCACCAAGGCGUCGACGGGUAGCCGGCCUGAGAGGGUGACCGGCCACACUGGGACUGAGACACGGCCCAGACUCCUACGGGAGGCAGCAGUGGGGAAUAUUGCACAAUGGGCGGAAGCCUGAUGCAGCAACGCCGCGUGAGGGAUGACGGCCUUCGGGUUGUAAACCUCUUUUAGCAGGGAAGAAGCGAAAGUGACGGUACCUGCAGAAAAAGCGCCGGCUAACUACGUG
RNAcentral lists this ribosomal RNA (469 nucleotides) under uncultured bacterium. RNAcentral describes it as "partial 16S ribosomal RNA". It matches the Rfam family "Bacterial small subunit ribosomal RNA", at positions 28 to 507 of the family's 1533-position model. The record is from RNAcentral.